CCAGAGCUUGGGGGUCUCCUGCAGCAGACUACUUUUUCUUGUUUAAUCUGCUCCUCCCGGAAGACCUUGUAAAAUCCUGGGGAAACAGUAGCCAACAGAGAGCAUUCACUUAAGACCAAGCAGCAGAGCAGCACUUUGGUAUUCCCUGAAGACACAAGAGAAAUCCCCAGGAACCAAGUGGAAAUGGUCUCAGGAACAAAUUCAUUCUGGUUUCGCGCAAUCCUUGGAAGCUGAUCAUCAGCAGUCACUACUGCAUUACUUUCAGGUAAAGCUUCCCCAACCCAUGCUAAAAGAAAAAACAAAUCAGCUUUAAAAGCAUAAUCAGGGUGGAAGAACCAGGAGGGCAACUCUACCUAGCUGGAAUAAGAUACUUUUUAAAUGAGUGGAAACAAAACAGAGAAGAAACACUGGGCCAUGAAGAGUUCAAGAACAAAUAAGUGAAACUGAGGCAGGCUAGGCAUAGAGAAUUUUUCCUUUCUAGGAUGCUGGUUCAAAGGUGUUGCAGAGCAUAAGGGCCAAACAUCUGCUUGCUUCUGUGACCCAUAUGAAAGAAGACUGUAUUAAACAGAAGCCUUAACGGCUAGGCAUUUUAUCAGACAAACUCACUGGAAGGAUAUGCCCUGUAUGAUGCCCUUAUUGUCAGCUUUGAAGGGAGAAGCCAAAGACUAAAUGAGCAUAGAGACUGCGCUGGUCCCAGCAGAGCCGGGGGAGGGACGCCAGCAGGGCAAGGCAGAGAUGCUACCCCGGUGUCUGCUCUGCAGUUAAGCAGGAGCACGUGUGCCUUUGUGGCUGUUGCUUGAAUACCUUUCAAAAACACUAAAUUCACUUGCAAGCGUUGAAGAAGAAAGAGUAAAAAUAGAAAACCAUGAAUUGUUGGAUGAUGGCAAAAGAAAACAAAAGCAGAACAGAAAACCAGUGGGGAGAAGCCCAUAACUGAGGAGGCAAAGCUUAGGUUUAUUAGUUAGAAAUCUGCAAAACUGACACCCAUUCAUUGAUAGUAUUCAGCUAGGUUUCUAAAGAUCAUAUCCUGCCCUUCAUU
RNAcentral lists this long non-coding RNA (1039 nucleotides) under Struthio camelus australis. RNAcentral describes it as "lncRNA (ENSSCUG00000011948.1)". Lineage: Eukaryota; Metazoa; Chordata; Aves; Struthioniformes; Struthionidae. The record is from RNAcentral.